CAGUCGCCGCGGGAAUACGUAGGGUGCGAGCGUUAAUCGGAAUUACUGGGCGUAAAGCGUGCGUAGGUGGUGGUUUAAGUCCGUUGUGAAAGCCCUGGGCUCAACCUGGGAAUUGCAGUGGAUACUGGGUCACUAGAGUGUGGUAGAGGAUAGUGGAAUUUCCGGUGUAGCAGUGAAAUGCGUAGAGAUCGGAAGGAACAUCUGUGGCGAAGGCGACUAUCUGGGCCAACACUGACACUGAGGCACGAAAGCGUGGGGAGCAAACAGGAUUAGAUACCCCUGUAGUCCCUGUCUCUUAUAC
RNAcentral lists this ribosomal RNA (301 nucleotides) under uncultured bacterium. Its description in RNAcentral is "partial 16S ribosomal RNA". It matches the Rfam family "Bacterial small subunit ribosomal RNA", at positions 509 to 807 of the family's 1533-position model. The record is from RNAcentral.